GUGCUCACUUCGGCAGCACAUAUACUAAAAUUGGAACAAUACAGAGAAGAUUAGCAGGGCCCUUGCAUGAGGAUGAUGUACAAAUUCAUGAAGCAUUCCACAGUUUU
Molecule: small nuclear RNA, 107 nt
Filed under: Physeter macrocephalus (sperm whale)
Lineage: Eukaryota; Metazoa; Chordata; Mammalia; Artiodactyla; Physeteridae
Source: RNAcentral